AGAGCUGCCUCUGGCAGCUCUCUGGUGAGGUGGCAGGAUCCCAGAAGGGAUAUGUUAAGCACUCGGGCAAAGGAGGCUGGUUCCCUAUGUCCCCAUGUGACACAGAAGCCAUAGAGAGAGCAACCUGACUUAAAGACCAUCCGUGGACUUCGAUAUUGAGGAUGGCAAUUUUAUUUCACCCUGAAGCCAAAGAGAACUUUCUGAAAGACAAAUUUGCUCAUGCUAUAAUAGUUACUGACAAAUAUUUAAAGGACUAAGUUGUGUAAGGAAUCUACACUGUCAGGCAGAACCAGGAUUCCUGGAAGUAGAACUGGGCUGCUUCAUAAGUCUGACUUCAUAUGACAGCUAGAUUCAAAAGGAUGAAAUCAGUAGAGGUGAGACCUCUUGAUGCCUUGGCUUGGAAGUCACAUAUUCUAUUGGCCAAAGCAAAUCACAAGGCCACCACAAAUUCAAGGAGAUGAAGAAAUAGACUCUACCUCUCUUGAUUGGCUUAUAAUAUGGUCAGUUCUUCAGAGGAAGAGGAAAAUUUCAUCUGGCCUCAAAUCUCAGUGAUCGCAUUUGUGGGAACAUAAUGUCUGAAGUAAAGACUAAGUAGAAGUCUGACAAGCAAAAAAAGAAAAAAAGACAAAGACACUCCAAGCAAGAGAAACAACCUGAGCAGAAGCACCCAGGUUGAAGUCCUAACCCCCAACAUCUCAGAAUGUGGCUUUAUUUGAAGAGAGGAUUACCUUUGCAGAGGUAAUCAAGUUAAAAUGAGGUCAAUAUAGUGAGUCCUAAUCCAGUAUGGUUGAUGUCCUCAUGAAAAGGAGAAAUUUGAAGACAGACACACCAAAGGAGAAUGCCAUGUGGAGACACAGGGAGAAGUUGGCAAUCUACAAGCCAACGAGAAUAGCCUGGAACAAAUUCUUCCAUCACACCCCUCAGAAGGAAUCAACCCUGACUGCACCUCCAUUGCAGAGUUGUAGCCUCCAGAACUGUGAGACAAUACAUUUCUGUUGUUUAAGACGCUAAGUUUACGGAGUAAAUUUCUGCUUGUUACAGCAGCCCCAGGAAACUAUUACACUCCACCUCAGCAUUUUCCUCCAGGCAUCCCUCAACCCUGUUCUUCCAACAUUUCCCAAGAAAGAAAGAAAAAAAUAUUACUUCACAUAUGUAUAUUAUAAAUCUUGCCAUUUCAUUUGCCUUCUUUUAACAUCAGUGGGUAAUCUUACCUCACAAAGUUAGAUGUAAUAUGGAAAAACCUCUACAAUUUUCAAACCCAUAAUAAUCAAGUUCUAUAAUCACCAAAAAAGAAAAGUACAAAAGAAAACCAAUGGUGAGAACUCUUAUAAAGCAAGUACAAAGACAAAAUUGGCUAUGCACUAUCAUUAACAGAAGCUAUCACGGCUCCUUUGUAAUCUUAAGCAGCUAUUCCAUGAUCUUUUCUCUCGCAAUGAUGAACCGAACUUUUGAUAAAAUAUUUGAUCUCCUUUUAGCCAAAACUCUUCUUUAUAAGCCCAUUUAAUAUUCCAGAAGGAUUUUCUUUCGUUUGAAGAAAUAUAAGUUUGACAUUCUAAAGGCAUUUGUAUUUUAAAGCCUACAAAAAGAUUUUUGGAGAGUACCUGGUGAAGUACCGACUUGCCCCUGUGGCUCAAAAGUUCAAUUAUUAUAGACAUUUCACUCAGAACAGCAUUUCUGUCUUUUAACCUUCAUCUAAAUAAAUGUUCAUUUUUAUAAAAA
This is a long non-coding RNA of Homo sapiens (human), 1719 nucleotides long. NCBI's taxonomy places the organism in Eukaryota, Metazoa, Chordata, Mammalia, Primates, Hominidae. The record is from Ensembl.